AUUUAAGUAUAAAAAGGGCACUUGGUGGAUGCCUUGGCACUAGAAGGCGAUGAAAGACGUGAUACGCUGCGAUAAGCUUCGGGGAGGCGCGAAUAGCCUUUGAUCCGAAGAUUUCUGAAUGGGGAAACCCACCUAUUUAUUAGGUAUUCUGCAAUGAAUUCAUAGUUGCAGGAAGCAAACCCGGAAAACUGAAAUAUCUAAGUAUCCGGAGGAAAGGACAUCAAACGAGACUCCGUUAGUAGUGACGAGCGAAAGCGGACCAGGCCAGUGGCUUAUAAGUAAGAACUAGAACAAUUUGGAAAAAUUGACCAUAGUGGGUGAUAGUCCCGUAUAGGUAGAAAGCUUAUAAGUCCUCGAGUAAGGCGGGACACGUGUAAUCCUGUCUGAAUAUGGGGGGACCACCCUCCAAGCCUAAGUACUCUCUAGUGACCGAUAGUGAACAAGUACCGUGAGGGAAAGGUGAAAAGUACCCCGAGAGGGGAGUGAAAUAGUUUCUGAAACCAAGUGCUUACAAGCAGUCGGAGCGAGACUUAAUGAUUCGUCAUUAAGGACUUGUGACGGCGUACCUCUUGUAUAAUGGGUCAGCGAGUUAGUGUAUCGAGCGAGCUUAAGUCAAUAGAUGUAGGCGUAGCGAAAGCGAGUCUGAAUAGGGCGUAUAGUUCGAUGCAUUAGACCCGAAACCGGGUGAUCUAGCCAUGGCCAGGAUGAAGGUGUAGUAACAUACGCUGGAGGUCCGAACCCAUUAAUGUUGAAAAAUUAUGGGAUGAGCUGUGGCUAGGGGUGAAAGGCCAAUCAAACUCGGAAAUAGCUGGUUCUCCGCGAAAUCUAUUUAGGUAGAGCGUCGUGACAAUUACCACUGAGGGUAGAGCACUGGAUAAGCUAGGGGGGCCCAAAGCCUUACCAACCUUAACUAAACUCCGAAUACCAGUGAGUACAGCACGGCAGACAGACCUAGGGUGCUAAGGUCCUAGGUCGAGAGGAAAACAGUCCAGACCACCGUCUAAGGUCCCCAAAUUAUGGCUAAGUGUGAAAGGAUGUGAGAAAACCAAAACAACUAGGAUGUUGGCUUAGAAGCAGCCAUCAUUUAAAGAAAGCGUAACAGCUCACUAGUCUAAAUAAGUUUUCUUGCGCCGAAAAUGUAACGGGGCUAAAGCCAUAUACCGAAGACGUGGGUGUGUAUCUAUGAUACACGCGGUAGCGGAGCGUUCUGUAGGCCGUUGAAGGUGAAUCGUGAGAUUUGCUGGAGGUAUCAGAAGUGAGAAUGCUGACAUGAGUAGCGACAAAAGAUGUGAAAAUCAUCUUCGCCGAAAGUCCAAGGGUUCCUGCGUAAAGCUAAUCUGCGCAGGGUUAGUCGGCCCCUAAGGCAAGGCCGAAAGGCGUAGUCGAUGGGAAUCAGGUUAAUAUUCCUGAACCUGUGGGAAGUGACGGAUAACGGAAGUUGUGUGCUGUUAUUGGAUUCAGUAUGCAGCCUAGUUGUCCCAGGAAAUAGCUCCCACAUAUAGACCGUACCCCAAACCGACACAGGUGGACUGGUAGAGUAUACCAAGGCGCUUGAGAGAACGAUGCUGAAGGAACUAGGCAAAUUGCACCUGUAACUUAGGGAGAAGGGUGGCCUCUUAUGGGCAACCAUAAAGAGGUGGCACAAAGCAGGGGGUUGCGACUGUUUACUAAAAACACAGGGCUAUGCAAACUCAUUAAGAGGAAGUAUAUGGUCUGACGCCUGCCCAGUGCUGGAAGGUUAAGAGGAGGUGUGCAAGCACUGAAUUGAAGCCCCAGUGAACGGCGGCCGUAACUAUGACGGUCCUAAGGUAGCGAAAUUCCUUGUCGGGUAAGUUCCGACCCGCACGAAUGGCGGCUAGACGGAAAGACCCCGUGCACCUUUACUAUAGCUUUGCAUUGGCAUUAGAAACUAGAUGUGUAGGAUAGGUGGGAGGCUAUGAAGCGGAGACGCCAGUCUUCGUGGAGCCAUCCUUGAAAUACCACCCUUCUGGUUUUUGAUGUCUAACCUAGCUCCUUGAAUCAGGAGCGGGGACCAUGCAUGGUGGGUAGUUUGACUGGGGCGGUCGCCUCCCAAAGAGUAACGGAGGCGCGCGAUGGUAGGCUCAAGCUGGUCGGAAAUCAGCUUUUAGAGUGCAAUGGCAUAAGCCUGCCUAACUGUGAGACUGACAGGUCGAACAGAUACGAAAGUAGGUCAUAGUGAUCCGGUGGUUCCCUGUGGAAGGGCCAUCGCUCAACGGAUAAAAGGUACGCCGGGGAUAACAGGCUGAUGAUUCCCAAGAGUCCAUAUCGACGGAAUCGUUUGGCACCUCGAUGUCGGCUCAUCACAUCCUGGGGCUGGAGAAGGUCCCAAGGGUUCGGCUGUUCGCCGAUUAAAGUGGUACGUGAGCUGGGUUUAGAACGUCGCGAGACAGUUCGGUUCCUAUCUACCAUGGGUGUAGGAAGUUUGCGAGGAUCUGCCUUUAGUACGAAAGGACCGAGGUGGACGUACCUCUAGUGGUCCAGUUGUCGCGCCAGCGGCAUGGCUGGGUAGCUAACGUACGGACGGGAUAAACGCUGAAAGCAUCUAAGCGUGAAACCCACCUUUAAACUAGACUUCCCCAUUAGAGCCGUGGAAGACUACCACGUUGAUAGGCUGGGUGUGUAAGCACAGUAAUGUGUUUAGCUUACCAGUACUAAUAGCUCGAUUGUCUUAAAUCG
RNAcentral lists this ribosomal RNA (2697 nucleotides) under Sphingobacteriia bacterium. Its description in RNAcentral is "23S ribosomal RNA". It matches the Rfam family "Bacterial large subunit ribosomal RNA". The record is from RNAcentral. Lineage: Bacteria; Pseudomonadati; Bacteroidota; Sphingobacteriia.